RNAcentral lists this ribosomal RNA (465 nucleotides) under Vreelandella stevensii. Its description in RNAcentral is "partial 16S ribosomal RNA". It matches the Rfam family "Bacterial small subunit ribosomal RNA", at positions 338 to 795 of the family's 1533-position model. Lineage: Bacteria; Pseudomonadati; Pseudomonadota; Gammaproteobacteria; Oceanospirillales; Halomonadaceae. The record is from RNAcentral.
CCUACGGGAGGCAGCAGUGGGGAAUAUUGGACAAUGGGCGAAAGCCUGAUCCAGCCAUGCCGCGUGUGUGAAGAAGGCCUUCGGGUUGUAAAGCACUUUCAGUGGGGAAGAAAGCCUUGGGGCUAAUACCCUCGAGGAAGGACAUCACCCACAGAAGAAGCACCGGCUAACUCCGUGCCAGCAGCCGCGGUAAUACGGAGGGUGCGAGCGUUAAUCGGAAUUACUGGGCGUAAAGCGCGCGUAGGCGGUCUGAUAAGCCGGUUGUGAAAGCCCCGGGCUCAACCUGGGAACGGCAUCCGGAACUGUCAGGCUAGAGUGCAGGAGAGGAAGGUAGAAUUCCCGGUGUAGCGGUGAAAUGCGUAGAGAUCGGGAGGAAUACCAGUUGCGAAGGCGGCCUUCUGGACUGACACUGACGUUGAUGUGCGAAAGCGUGGGUAGCAAACAGGAUUAGAUACCCGGGUAGUC